RNAcentral lists this ribosomal RNA (301 nucleotides) under uncultured bacterium. RNAcentral describes it as "partial 16S ribosomal RNA". It matches the Rfam family "Bacterial small subunit ribosomal RNA", at positions 509 to 808 of the family's 1533-position model. The record is from RNAcentral.
CAGCCGCCGCGGGAAAACAGAGGGUGCGAGCGUUAAUCGGAUUUACUGGGCGUAAAGCGUGCGUAGGCGGCUUCUUAAGUCGGAUGUGAAAUCCCUGAGCUUAACUUAGGAAUUGCAUUCGAUACUGGGAAGCUAGAGUAUGGGAGAGGAUGGUAGAAUUCCAGGUGUAGCGGUGAAAUGCGUAGAGAUCUGGAGGAAUACCGAUGGCGAAGGCAGCCAUCUGGCCUAAUACUGACGCUGAGGUACGAAAGCAUGGGGAGCAAACAGGAUUAGAGACCCCGUAGUCCCUGUCUCUUAUACC